AAGAAACCAAGAAGAAAAGCACACACACUACACACUAAUACAAGCCACUAGCGUGCGAGCUGUGCGUAGGAAGAGACUGCACGCUUCGGUUUCUGCAGUAGCAACCACCUCCGGGAGACAAGGCGCAUUCGUCUCCUGUUCAUCGAGGAAUCGAAGGGCGCGCCGCGGCGAAAGCCGCAGAUAACGGUUUUCGCUCGCGCACGCAGAUAUCGUUGCGUCUGCAUCUCGGACUGCACUCAUAACACCCAUAAAUCUUCCCGGCUAUCUUGUCGUCGCUGACACGUUUACAGUGCCUCGGGAUAUCCCUACAGCAUACACACUCGAUGCUGUCAAACUUGGAAUGUGGAUACCACGGAAGAACCAGCCAGCAGCAGUAGCAGCAGCAGCAGGGCUUCAGAAUGCUGCUGCUGCUGCUGCCGAUGAUGCUGCUGCUGUUAAUGAUCCCUCUUGCCCUCAGAAGCCGACCGCUACAGAAUUCAGUGACGAAUUGUGGUGUCGAUGUGCGCGCCCGGAUGAAGCGGUGUCCUCAGUGCUAUCUCUUUUUCUUAUCCCUUAACCCUUUUUCUCAUAUAGGGUAGCGAACCGGACACGCGUAAGGCUGACCUCCCUGCUUUCUCUCUCUCUCUCUCUCCCUGUUGUAUUGAACAGUAUGUAGACAUUAAAUGGCCAAAAGGAAAAGCCUACAAGAAAGCGAGACAGACUGCAAUAAGUCUACAGACAACCUAACAGGUUGUCUGAAUUCGCUUUGGCAAGAGUCGCUGCAGAGACGUCUGCUCCAGGUGACGUCGUAGUAAAUGCGUUGCGCUUUCACCUCUGGGCCGUGCGAGGCCAUGGGCGAUGGCGCUCGUCGGAAUGGGCGAAGGAAACAAGAACGGGAAGCGAGGGCCGCAAGUGGUCGACCGACGACGUCCGGGCGUGGGCGGACGAGACCCGAGGCGGUGGCGGGCUCCCUCGACGCCGACGCUUCGAAACAGCCGCGCCCCGCGGAAGAAGACACCAGACAGGCUGGGCAUAUCCUCCCUCACCUAUGUGACCCCUCACCCAACUUUCAAACGACAGCUGUUUUGCCGACGUUGCGUUGCUCCGCCGCUUCUCCUACAGCGGCGAAGCUCUGAGGGUCGAUAUACCGUUGUCCAAGCAAACGUUAGCCAAGCUGUUUAACGAAAAAGAAAUUAAUAAUAACACGGUAUAAGAUACAAUCUUGAGAUUGUUUGCACCGUUUUCUUUUUUUUUUUUUUUUGAACAGCUUGGCUAACGUAAGCUGGGGCGCCCUAUAUACGAGGGCGAAUCAGAAGGACUUUGCCCCUAUAUUUUACUAGCCAAUAUAAGGUACAUAUAGGCAGUUACAAAUAUACGUACUAUUCUACGUACCUUACACUAUUUUCCCACAUGGUCCCCACACCGGUUCAUACGUUUAUGCCAGCGCAGCACUAAAUUUGAGACUCCUCUGCUGUAGAAUUCGUCCGGCUGACUGUGGAAUCGUUCCUACUAUCCUCGUUCGUACAGCAGGACGAUCGUAUCGACGUGACAAGUGCGGCUUAUCUAGUACGGGAAAGCAUAAAGUCGUGCGAGUUCAGUCCCAUUAAUCGCCGGGAGGUGUUAUAUAGAAAAUUAAGAGAGGCACAUACAAAGGAAAUUCGCAUUUUAUUGCGAUUUCGGGCGAAUUAUCGCCGUCGCCGUCGUCGAGAUGUUCCGCAUGAAGUCCAAGUGCGAUAAGAAAUAUUGAGCGGCCUGCGCGCCGUACUGUGUGGGUGCGAGGUCACGCGCGCGGGGGCCGCUUUUAAACAUAGCGGCCUGAUGCACGCCCAGUGUUGGAGGUUACGUGAUCGAGCGCGUGCUAUAGGAGAUGAGAGCCAGGGAGAGCGCGCGUCUCAUAUACGCCUGACCGUGGCUGCGCAUGGAUGCGCGCAGCUGAGCGAGUCGGAAUGUCUGGUGUUAUGAUCGACCUAAGUUUUCCAAGAAGCCAUCGACUACCGCAUCUGGUGACGGAGGGACGGUCCACCAGCAACACGCAGCUGUCACGGUAGUUGUUCACGCCUCAUCAUUCACUUCUUUUCAGGACAGCAACGGCGUCCUCCUGAACGUCACAAAGUGGCCACUUAUCGGUGAAAGGGCCCUCGUCGAGAACUUCCGGGGAAAGCAUCGAUGACAGGCGGUUGCCUCCUAUUUUGCCACGUUGGAGACAGGUGCGACACGUUGAAGCACAACGAGCAGCGCAUAGAAGACAGGAGUACAACGAGCAGCGCAUAUAGAAGAUGGGAGCACAACGAGCAGCACACUGAUGACAGCACCACGAGCAACACAGUGGAGACCAUGGUGAGGGGCGACAGAGGUGGUGAACGAUUCGGCGUUUGUGCCUGCCCAGUGGAUUACCUCAACGAGGGAAAGAUGGGUUAUUUAAGGCCGUCCUGGCCCCAGUGUUAAAUCAUAACCGCUCGAGACUAGGAUAGAAGUCACAAACAUGUACCAAUGAAGUGAAUACAAUCUUUCUUUUUUUUCUUUUUUCAUCAUCACGA
Dermacentor andersoni is the source of this 2516-nucleotide non-coding RNA. The record is from RefSeq and is a predicted model, not a curated record. Lineage: Eukaryota; Metazoa; Arthropoda; Arachnida; Ixodida; Ixodidae.